GCUGGGCGUGGUGGUGCACGCCUGUAAUCCCAGCUACUCGGGAGGCUGAGGCAGGAGAAUCGCUUGAACCCAGGAGGCGGAGGUUGCAGUGGGCUGAGAUCGCGCCAUUGCACUCCAGCCUAGGCAACAGAGCGAGACUCUGUCUCAA
This 148-nucleotide non-coding RNA is filed under the name Homo sapiens (human). Lineage: Eukaryota; Metazoa; Chordata; Mammalia; Primates; Hominidae. The record is from Rfam by way of RNAcentral.